AAUGAACGCUGGCGGUAGGCUUAACACAUGCAAGUCGGACGGAAACAAUAGAGGAGCUUGCUUUUCUAGUUGUCGAGUGGCGGACGGGUGAGUAACGCGUGGGAAUCUACCCUAUAGUUGGGGACAACAUGUGGAAACGCAUGCUAAUACCGAAUAUGAUCUACGGAUUAAAGGGGGCCUCUUCUUGAAAGCUCUCGCUAUAGGAUGAGCCCGCGUAAGAUUAGCUAGUUGGUGAGGUAAUGGCUCACCAAGGCGACGAUCUUUAGCUGGUUUGAGAGGAUGAUCAGCCACACUGGGACUGAGACACGGCCCAGACUCCUACGGGAGGCAGCAGUGGGGAAUAUUGCACAAUGGACGAAAGUCUGAUGCAGCCAUACCGCGUGUGUGAAGAAGGCCUUCGGGUUGUAAAGCACUUUCAAUUGUGAGGAAGGUAAUGUAAUUAAUACUUGCAUUGCUUGACGUUAACUUUAGAAGAAGCACCGGCUAACUCUGU
Molecule: ribosomal RNA, 493 nt
Filed under: uncultured Gammaproteobacteria bacterium
Lineage: Bacteria; Pseudomonadati; Pseudomonadota; Gammaproteobacteria
Description: bacterial SSU rRNA
Rfam family: Bacterial small subunit ribosomal RNA
Source: RNAcentral